Molecule: long non-coding RNA, 2572 nt
Filed under: Vitis vinifera (wine grape)
Lineage: Eukaryota; Viridiplantae; Streptophyta; Magnoliopsida; Vitales; Vitaceae
Description: long non-coding RNA (VVIN_LNC002060)
Source: RNAcentral
GCAUUGAGAAAUUCCCACCCCUCUGCCUUUUACUUCAUUCACUUCCUAAAUAAAUGAACCCUUAAGGCAUUCACUGCCUAAGGGUUCAUGAAGGUUGAGGUAAGAAAUCCCUAAGCUACUUCUUUCACUUCAUUUACCUCCUAAGACAAGGGACCUUGAAGGGCAUUUAUUGCCUAAGGGGUUCAGAAUGGCUUAGGUUGAGAAAUCCCUAAUCAUUUUUUUCUCACUUCCUUCACCUCUCAAGGCAAUGACCUCAUAAAGGGCAUACAUUCUCUAAGGAUUGAAGUAGGGUUAGGCCAAGAUAUCCAUGACUACCCCACUCACUUCAUUUGCCUCCUAAGGUAAUAGUCCCUCGAAGGAUUCAUCACCUUAAAGCUUAAUUAGGUUCAAGUCAAGAAAUCUCUUAUCCUAUCCUUCUCACUUUAUUCACCUCCUAGGGCAAGGGACUAUCAAGGGCAUUUAUCCUAUAAGGGUUUAUAUGUGCUCAAGUUGAGAAAUCUUAUACCCUACUUAUUUGAUCACUUCAUUUGCCUUCCAAAGCAAGUGACCCUUAAAGGGCAUUGGGUUCAAGUGAUCAACUUCAGUUGAGAAUCCUUAACCUUUACCUCUCACUUCAUUUCCCUCAUGAAGUAAACGACCAUCUAAGGCAUUCAUCUCCUAAAAGUUUAAGUGGGCUAAGGUUGAUAAAUCACUAACCUUACUUUUCGUCAUUUACUUGCCUCUUAAGGCUUUGGACCCUUAAGGGUAUAUUUGCUUAUGGGUUUAGGUGGGUUAGGUUAAGAACAUCCUUGGGGAAACCAUUCAAGCCUCUUUUAGGCAGGUUUAAGUGACAAUUUUCACAUGACACAAUAAUAUAAUUAAGAAAUAACAUAAAUUUAAUUUAUUCAAAUUAAGUGUAAUCAUAUUUGUAUCCUUAUUAUGUCAACUUGUGUGAUCCAUUUUAAUAAACAAGUUGUGUUUAAAUUUGAUUAUUUCAUUUAAUUCGUUCACGUAAUCUUCUUAAAAUGACAUGUUCAUGACUUAUAUAAUUCAUAAAAAUUUAUUAAUUUUAUAUAUUUAGAAAUUAUAAAAAUUUAAAAUAAUUUCAAAAUUAUAAAAUAAUAUAUAGUUGAAAAUUUAAUAAUUUAAGUAAAAUUUUAUAUAUUUCAUCACAAAGAUUAAAAAAAUUUUAUAAUUAAAACAUUAAAUAAAAAAAAUAAACAUUUACAAAAUCAAAAUAAAAAUUUACUUUCCAUAUUCUAAACAUAUUAUAAUUAAAAUUAAAUAAUUAAAUUAAUUAUCAUUUAUAAAAUUAAAACUUCAUAUUUAAACUAGUUAAAAAGUAUUUCAAGAUUCAUUAUUCAACUUUAACUCAUUCAUUAAAUGAGUUGAACAAAUCAUGUCAUAUUCUCUGUAUAAUUAACGAGUCGUGUUUAUAUCAGGUCACUCUAACACAAUUAUUAAACCAAUUAUAUUUAAGUAAAUUUUCACUAUUUUUUACUUAAUAAUGAUGUCGUUGUGCAAAUUAAUAAGUCGAUUUUACCACACAAUUAUUAGAAGCCCAUACAAAAAUUUAAGAUCAAAGGUCACAAUCUUCCAUUUUGUUUUAUUUUUUUAAUAUUUAGUGACAAUUUUUGGGUUACCAAAGAAUUUUAUUUAGAAUUAUUAUACUAAGUUCUAAUCGUUAGGUAUGAGGGACGAAUUUAAGAAUCUCAUACCUAAUCCUUUCUUUUUCACUUCCUUCACCUCCUAAGGCAAGGAACUCAUAAAAGGGCAUGCAUCUGUGGAUUGUAGUGGGCUUUAGGCCAAGAUAUUCAUGACUACCCCACUCAUUUCAUUUGCCUCCUAAGGUAAUAGACCCUCGGAGGAUUCAUCACCUUACAGCUUAAUUAGGUCCAAGUCAAAAAAUCUCUUAUCCUCUCCUUCUCACUUUAUUCACCUCCUAGGGCAAGAGACUAUCAAGGGCAUUUAUCCUAUAAGGGUUUAAAUGUGCUCAAGUUGAGAAAUCUUAUACCCUACUUAUUUGAUCACUUCAUUUGCCUUCCAAAGCAAGUGACCCUUAAAGGGCAUUGGGUUCAAGUGAUCAACUUCAGUUGAGAAUCCUUAACCUUUACUUUUCACUACAUUUCCCUCAUGAAGUAAAUGACCAUCUAAGGCAUUCACCUCCUAAAAGUUUAAGUGGGCUAAGGUUGAUAAAUCACUAACCUUACUUUUUGUACAUUGUUUGCCUCUUAAGGCUUCAGACCCUUAAGGGCAUCUUUGCUCAAGAGUUUAGGUGGGUUAGGUUAAGAACAUUCUUGGUGCAACCAUUCAAGCCUCUUUUAGGUAGGUUUAAGUGACAAUUUUCACAUGACACAACAAUAUAAUUAAAAAAAAUAACAUAAAUUUAAUUCAUUCAAAUUAAAUGUAAUCAUAUUUGUAUUGUUAUUAUGUCAACUUGUGUAGUUCAUUUUAAUAAACGAGUUGUGUUUAAAUUUGAUUGUUUCAUUUAAUUCGUUCACGUAAUCUUCUUAAAAUGAAAUGUUCAUGACUUAUUUAAUUCAUAAAAAUUUAUUAAUUUUAUACAUUUAGAAAUUAUAAAAAUUUAAAAUAC